AGAACAUUAUUUAGAUGAUGCUGUAGAGAUGAACUCUUCUCUGGGCUUAGUGGCUGUGGUGCUCUUAGUGCUUGGACGAAUCCAUGGAGACUCGGUGACCCAGACAAAAGGCCAAGUGACCCUCUCAGAAGGGGCUCCCCUGACUGUGAAUUGUUCCUAUGAAAGCACACGGUACCCUGCUCUUUUCUGGUAUGUUCAGUAUCCUGGAGAAGGUCCACAGCUCCUCCUGAAAGCCACAAGGGUCAACGAGAAGGGAAGCAGCAAAGGAUUUGUAGCCACAUACCAAAAACAACCAAAUGCCUUCCACUUGGAGAAAGCCUCAGUCCACCAGUCAGAUUCUGCAAUGUACUACUGUGCACUGGGUGACACAGUGACAGACACUGCAGGGGGAGCUGAGCACAAACUCUGAACAAAGAGCCUGGCUGCUGAGUGUCUGUGACUGUUCGAUCCACUGAGGUGGAUUUUAUUAUAAAAUAUCAAAUACAAAUUUCCAAUAUUUUAUGCACAUUAAUAGAGUUGUUCGGAUAAUUAGACUUCCACAUGUACAGGGAGAUCUAAGACA
Molecule: non-coding RNA, 562 nt
Organism: Myotis myotis
Lineage: Eukaryota; Metazoa; Chordata; Mammalia; Chiroptera; Vespertilionidae
Source: the annotation of a RefSeq genome assembly